UACGUAGGGUGCAAGCAUUAAUCGGAUUUAUUGGGCGUAAAGGGCGCGUAGGCGGGGAUGUAAGUCAGAUGUGAAAUCCCGGGGCUCAACCCCGGAACUGCAUUUGAAACUGCAACUCUAGAGGGUAGGCGGGGAAAAUGGAAUUCCACAAGUAGCGGUGAAAUGCGUAGAUAUGUGGAAGAACACCGGUGGCGAAGGCGAUUUUCUAGCUUAUACCUGACGCUAAUGCGCGAAAGCAAGGGGAUCAAACAGG
RNAcentral lists this ribosomal RNA (253 nucleotides) under uncultured bacterium. RNAcentral describes it as "partial 16S ribosomal RNA". It matches the Rfam family "Bacterial small subunit ribosomal RNA", at positions 524 to 776 of the family's 1533-position model. The record is from RNAcentral.